This 496-nucleotide ribosomal RNA is filed under the name uncultured bacterium. RNAcentral's name for it is "partial 16S ribosomal RNA". It matches the Rfam family "Bacterial small subunit ribosomal RNA", at positions 29 to 507 of the family's 1533-position model. The record is from RNAcentral.
AUGAACGCUGGCGGCGUGCCUAAUACCUGCAAGUCGCGCGAACAGACGAGGAGCUUGCUCCUCUGACGUUAGCGGCGGACGGGUUAGUAACACGUGGAUAACCUACCUAUAAGACUGGGAUAACUUCGGGAAACCGGAGCUAAUACCGGAUAAUAUAUUGAACCGCAUGGUUCAAUAGUGAAAGACGGUUUUGCUGUCACUUAUAGAUGGAUCCGCGCCGCAUUAGCUAGUUGGUAAGGUAACGGCUUACCAAGGCAACGAUGCGUAGCCGACCUGAGAGGGUGAUCGGCCACACUGGAACUGAGACACGGUCCAGACUCCUACGGGAGGCAGCAGUAGGGAAUCUUCCGCAAUGGGCGAAAGCCUGACGGAGCAACGCCGCGUGAGUGAUGAAGGUCUUCGGAUCGUAAAACUCUGUUAUUAGGGAAGAACAAAUGUGUAAGUAACUAUGCACGUCUUGACGGUACCUAAUCAGAAAGCCACGGCUAACUACGUG